Molecule: ribosomal RNA, 669 nt
Filed under: uncultured Eubacteriales bacterium
Lineage: Bacteria; Bacillati; Bacillota; Clostridia; Eubacteriales
Description: bacterial SSU rRNA
Rfam family: Bacterial small subunit ribosomal RNA
Source: RNAcentral
UCGAACGGGAUUUAGUAAACGGAAGCUUCGGUGGAAGAUUACUAAUGAGAGUGGCGAACGGGUGAGUAACGCGUGAGCAACCUGCCUAUGACAGUGGGAUAGCCUCGGGAAACCGGGAUUAAUACCGCAUAAAAUCGUAGAAACACAUGUUUUAACGGUCAAAGAUUUAUCGGUCAUAGAUGGGCUCGCGUCUGAUUAGCUAGUUGGUGAGAUAACAGCCCACCAAGGCGACGAUCAGUAGCCGGUCUGAGAGGAUGAACGGCCACAUUGGAACUGAGACACGGUCCAAACUCCUACGGGAGGCAGCAGUGGGGAAUAUUGCACAAUGGGGGAAACCCUGAUGCAGCGACGCCGCGUGAACGAAGAAGGUAUUCGUAUCGUAAAGUUCUGUCCUAUGGGAAGAUAAUGACAGUACCAUAGAAGAAAGCUCCGGCUAAAUACGUGCCAGCAGCCGCGGUAAUACGUAUGGAGCGAGCGUUGUCCGGAAUUAUUGGGCGUAAAGGGUACGCAGGCGGUUUAAUAAGUCGAAUGUUAAAGAUCGGGACUCAACCCCGUAAAGCAUUGGAAACUGAUAAACUUGAGUAGUGGAGAGGAAAGUGGAAUUCCUAGUGUAGUGGUGAAAUACGUAGAUAUUAGGAGGAAUACCAGUAGCGAAGGCGACUUUCUGGA